AAGUAACGCUUAAUACAAAACUGUCAAGUUGCUUAGGCGUUCUCUAGAAUUAUAUAGAACGCCCAAGAUUGAUGAACGUUGUAUAUGUAAAAUCAUAUAGAACGCCUAUCCUACCUAACAACUCUAUUUGAUUAUAUUACUUUUAUAAAUAAAACGUGACUUAAUAAUAGAACGCCUUGUAUGGUUAACUGUUCUAUAUGAGUAAAAAAAACCUCCGCCUUUUAUAUUAAAUGAUUAAAAUUUAUUUGACAAUUAUUAUAAAAAUAAAAAAUAAAAAAAUGAACAACUAAACCCUACCCACCUCCUCUCUGUCAGUUACACACUUACACGCCUCUUGUUCUUCCAUUCCUCUAUUUCUUUCACCGAUUCAUCUUGUAAAAUGAAAAUAAAGUAAAAUUUAUCACCGAUUCAUCUACCUCAACAUCUUUCUAAAGAGCAACCAUUCUAUCAGAUCUUCCACCGUUGUCCGUUGCCGCUUAUCGUGACCACAAUUCUUACUGUUCAUCGUUCACAAACCCCGGAUAUACCUGGGAAGAAAUGAAGAUUAGCUAUUUGUUUAAAUUUAUCUCUUGUUUCUCCAUUACUAUGUACUUCGUAUAAUUUACUUGAAUUGUACUUUAUACAAUAUUAUGUAAGGUUGAUUUUUUAAUUUUAAAUUGACUACUAUAUGAAUUGUAUAUUACUCGUAA
Molecule: long non-coding RNA, 689 nt
Organism: Chenopodium quinoa (quinoa)
Lineage: Eukaryota; Viridiplantae; Streptophyta; Magnoliopsida; Caryophyllales; Amaranthaceae
Exons: 2
Source: RefSeq, a predicted model, not a curated record